UAAUACUGCCUGGUAAUGAUG
RNAcentral lists this non-coding RNA (21 nucleotides) under Oryzias latipes (Japanese medaka). Its record names the gene ola-miR-200b. Lineage: Eukaryota; Metazoa; Chordata; Actinopteri; Beloniformes; Adrianichthyidae. RNAcentral also lists the same sequence under 4 other names. The record is from miRBase by way of RNAcentral.